ACGGAAGGCAGCAGUGGGGAAUAUUGGGCAAUGGGGGAAACCCUGACCCAGCGACGCCGCGUGAGGGAAGACGGUCUUCGGAUUGUAAACCUCUGUCUUUCGGGACGAUAAUGACGGUACCGAAGGAGGAAGCCACGGCUAACUACGUGCCAGCAGCCGCGGUAAUACGUAGGUGGCAAGCGUUGUCCGGAAUUACUGGGUGUAAAGGGAGCGUAGGCGGGGGAGCAAGUUGAAUGUGAAAUCUAUGGGCUUAACCCAUAAAUUGCGUUCAAAACUGUUCUUCUUGAGUGAAGUAGAGGCAAGCGGAAUUCCUAGUGUAGCGGUGGAAUGCGUAGAUAUUAGGAGGAACACCAGUGGCGAAGGCGGCUUGCUGGGCUUUUACUGACGCUGAGGCUCGAAAGCGUGGGGAGCAAACAGGAUUAGAUACCCUGGUA
RNAcentral lists this ribosomal RNA (434 nucleotides) under uncultured Oscillospiraceae bacterium. RNAcentral's name for it is "bacterial SSU rRNA". It matches the Rfam family "Bacterial small subunit ribosomal RNA", at positions 341 to 792 of the family's 1533-position model. The record is from RNAcentral. Lineage: Bacteria; Bacillati; Bacillota; Clostridia; Eubacteriales; Oscillospiraceae.